CCUACGGGGAGCAGCAGUGAGGAAUAUUGGUCAAUGGACGCAAGUCUGAACCAGCCAUGCCGCGUGCAGGAAGACGGCUCUAUGAGUUGUAAACUGCUUUUGUACGAGGGUAAACGCAGAUACGCGUAUCUGUCUGAAAGUAUCGUACGAAUAAGGAUCGGCUAACUCCGUGCCAGCAGCCGCGGUAAUACGGAGGAUUCAAGCGUUAUCCGGAUUUAUUGGGUUUAAAGGGUGCGUAGGCGGUCGGAUAAGUUAGAGGUGAAAUCCCGAGGCUCAACUUCGGAAUUGCCUCUGAUACUGUUCGGCUAGAGAGUAGUUGCGGUAGGCGGAAUGUAUGGUGUAGCGGUGAAAUGCUUAGAGAUCAUACAGAACACCGAUUGCGAAGGCAGCUUACCAAGCUACUUCUGACGUUGAGGCACGAAAGCGUGGGUAGCAAACAGGAUUAGAUACCCUAGUAGUC
This 460-nucleotide ribosomal RNA is filed under the name uncultured bacterium. RNAcentral's name for it is "partial 16S ribosomal RNA". It matches the Rfam family "Bacterial small subunit ribosomal RNA", at positions 338 to 795 of the family's 1533-position model. The record is from RNAcentral.